AUUGAACGCUGGCGGCAUGCCUUACACAUGCAAGUCGAACGGCAGCACGGGUGCUUGCCCCUGGUGGCGAGUGGCGAACGGGUGAGUAAUACAUCGGAACAUGUCCUGUAGUGGGGGAUAGCCCGGCGAAAGCCGGAUUAAUACCGCAUACGAUCCACGGAUGAAAGCGGGGGACCUUCGGGCCUCGCGCUAUAGGGUUGGCCGAUGGCUGAUUAGCUAGUUGGUGGGGUAAAGGCCUACCAAGGCGACGAUCAGUAGCUGGUCUGAGAGGACGACCAGCCACCCUGGGACUGAGACACGGCCCAGACUCCUACGGGAGGGCGCGGUGGGGAAUUUUGGACAAUGGGCGAAAGCCUUAUCCAGCAAUGCCGCGUGUGUGAAGAAGGCCUUCGGGUUGUAAAGCACUUUUGUCCGUAAAGAAAUCCUUGACUCUAAUACAGUCGGGGGAUGACGGUACCGGAAAAAUAAGCACCGGCUAACUACGUG
Molecule: ribosomal RNA, 486 nt
Filed under: uncultured bacterium
Lineage: Bacteria
Description: partial 16S ribosomal RNA
Rfam family: Bacterial small subunit ribosomal RNA
Source: RNAcentral